Non-coding RNA from Gossypium hirsutum (cotton), 145 nucleotides. The record is from Rfam. Lineage: Eukaryota; Viridiplantae; Streptophyta; Magnoliopsida; Malvales; Malvaceae.
UAUUAAAAAUUUUAUCUAUUUUCACUGUUAAAAGUUAGAAUGAUUGACGAAAUAUUCAGACAGUUACACGUGAUGUGUCACACGUACAUCAUGCUAACGUAUCAUGACCAAUUUUUAACAGUAAAAAUAAAUGAAAAUUUUUACU